CGCCCGUCGCUCCUACCGAUUGGGUGUGCUGGUGAGAUGUCGGGAUUAGUGGUUGUGGGCGGUUCGCCGCCCUCUGCCGCUGAGAACUUCAUCAAACCCUCCCACCUAGAGGAAGGAGAAGUCGUAACAAGGUUCCU
This 137-nucleotide ribosomal RNA is filed under the name uncultured Trebouxiophyceae. Its description in RNAcentral is "partial small subunit ribosomal RNA". It matches the Rfam family "Eukaryotic small subunit ribosomal RNA", at positions 1670 to 1804 of the family's 1831-position model. Lineage: Eukaryota; Viridiplantae; Chlorophyta; Trebouxiophyceae. The record is from RNAcentral.